AGCACUCUAAGCACAUGUUUUCUCACUGAGCUUCACCAGAAAUCCUGUACCCUAGUGAAGAGAGCAGCGGGACAGGCAUCACUUCUGGCUCUGUGAUACUGAUGGGUGCCGUCCCUCCCUUCCCUCUCUCUGUGUUUCACCCGACUGACUGUACCCAGGCCCAGACAACUGGCCUUGCUAGCAAGGCUGCCCACGGACUGCGACACUUUUGUUUUCCCUUAGAAGCUGCAGGGUGUGACAUUUAUUAGUCUAGCCAGUCAGCCCUCUCAGACCUGCAACACCUACUAUAUUUUAUAGAGCACAGCAGUGCAGAUGCACCCGCCACUGUGGUCAGUCGUGAAAACCAGCACUCCUCCACACCUCAUACCUGGCCCAGGGCCUGGCGGGAGGCGCCCGGGACCUGAAACAAUCAGACAGAAGCUGAGCCUCCCGGGGUUUAUCAUCGCCAACUGGAGGACAAGGGAUCCAGGGCUGACCCCACUUGGCCUCAUUCCAGGUUUGGGCCUGGAAUCACUCAAAGCUCCUGACAAGUCUUCCUCUGAAAUAAAGCUGGGAUUGGAAUCAAGAUAAGAAGGUGGAAUCUGGGGAACUCAAGAAAGGACCCUGCUUAUGCCUUUGGACAAUCACAGCAGUAUACAAGGACCUGGAGUUUAGGAACGUGUUAAGUUCUCUUGCAAUGGCAAGGCCUUGGCAGGUGGAGAGGCUCUAUUGGAACUCACUGCCAGUCUGCUAACCUUCAAAAAGGAGAAAAAUGAAGUCCGAGGUUCAUAAAAACCGGGGAUGUGUUUUACAUGGAAAAAGAACUAGAAAUUUACUGUCAAGUUCCAGAUGCCAAGGAAGCAUGAAAGUUACGGUUUAACUUCUUUAACAAACCUGUUCCCAGCAGCUAGAAGGCAGAGACUCUCAGAAAGACCCCGAGUCACUUUGGAAACAUGAAGCUGCCUGACACGCAGUAGCACCCAGCCCAGGUCCUCUCAGAAGACUGGGAGAGGGGUGCAUGGUGAAGUCUCUGAAGCAGCUUGUGUUAUUUGAGUUAUAAAAAUUCCCCUUGUUCUGAGGCUGUGCAUAUUUUCUUUCUUUCUUUCUUUUUUUUUUUUUAUCGGUACCAGGGAUCGAACUCAGGACUGCCUGCUUGCAGGCGCUUAUGCCGCUGAGCUAAAUCCCCAGCCCCGGCUGUGCAUAUUUUCACCUAUGAAAAUGAACACUUGUCAUGGGAGUUUUUCACAGGAAGUGAAAUAUAUUUGAAAAUCAACUUUAAUGAUAUCAUUUCACAAUAACAAGGCUUUGCUGAUGGCAGGUGUGUGUGAGUCAGGGCAGACACACCUUUGUCUGUAAAAAGACUCUCUAAGUGUGAUCCUGACUGUAAUGUACCACUGUUUCAUCAUGUGAUGGGGAAGAAAGAAAUACCAUAGUAAAAAUAGGCUGAAGUAUUUGUAGUCCAAUGGUCAACUUGUAACAUCCAGCUAAAGUGAAUCAGCGUGGUACUGGGUGGAGGCCCCAUCUGAGAAUUGU
Molecule: long non-coding RNA, 1512 nt
Organism: Cavia porcellus (domestic guinea pig)
Lineage: Eukaryota; Metazoa; Chordata; Mammalia; Rodentia; Caviidae
Exons: 3
Source: RefSeq, a predicted model, not a curated record